This 263-nucleotide unclassified non-coding RNA is filed under the name plant metagenome. RNAcentral describes it as "partial contains small subunit ribosomal RNA, internal transcribed spacer 1, and 5.8S ribosomal RNA". The stretch from base 1 to 54 matches the Rfam family "Eukaryotic small subunit ribosomal RNA", at positions 1778 to 1831 of the family's 1831-position model. The record is from RNAcentral.
GGAAGUAAGAGUCGUAACAAGGUUUCCGUAGGUGAACCUGCGGAAGGAUCACUAUUGAAUGAAACACUUCUGGCUUUAUGCUGUUGUGCUGGCCCUUUGGGCAAUGUGCACACGGCUCUGGUCACUUGUUUCUUCUGUUCCACCUGUGCACUGCCUGUAGACACGCUGUGUCUAUGAUAUUUGUUAACACACAACAAUGUUAGUUGGCAUGUUAUAUAUAAUAAUAAAAUAUACAACUUUCAACAACGGAUCUCUUGGCUCUC